This 3087-nucleotide ribosomal RNA is filed under the name Trueperella pecoris. RNAcentral's name for it is "Trueperella sp. 19M2397 23S ribosomal RNA". It matches the Rfam family "Bacterial large subunit ribosomal RNA". Lineage: Bacteria; Bacillati; Actinomycetota; Actinomycetes; Actinomycetales; Actinomycetaceae. The record is from RNAcentral.
UUGUAAGUGUUUUAGGGCGUUCGGUGGAUGCCUUGGUACACGGAGCCGAUGAAGGACGUUGUAGCCUGCGAUAAGCCUCGGGGAGUUGGCAUACGAGCUGUGAUCCGAGGGUGUCCGAAUGGGGGAACCUGCCUGGAGUUGUUUCUGGGUACCGUCAUCUGAAUGUAUAGGGUGAUUGGGGGUAACGCGGGGAAGUGAAACAUCUUAGUACCCGUAGGAAGAGAUAUUCUGUGAGUAGUGGCGAGCGAAAGCGGAUGAGGUUAAACCGGGUGUGUGUGAUAGCCGUCGGGCGUUGCAUAUUCGGGGUUGUGGGGCCUGCAGUGAUUCCCUCCGACGGGGGGUCGAGGAGUGAUAAAGGUGGCAGAUAGGUGAAUCAGUUGGGAAGCUGGACCGUAGACCGUGAUAGUCGGGUAGUUGAAAUCUGUUGCUCUUCUUUGUGGUGUUCCCGAGUAGCACGGGGCUCGUGAAAUCUCGUGUGAAUCUGCACAGACCACUGUGUAAACCUAAAUACUUCGUGUGACCGAUAGUGAAUGAGUACCGUGAGGGAAUGGUGAAAAGUACCCCGGGAGGGGAGUGAAAUAGUACCUGAAACCGGACGCUUACAAUCCGUCAGAGCCCUUUUUGGUGGGGGUGAUGGCGUGCCUUUUGAAGAAUGAGCCUGCGAGUUAGGAUGUGUGGCGAGGUUAACCCGUGUGGGGUAGCCGUAGCGAAAGCGAGUCUGAAUAGGGCGGUUUGAGUUGCAUGUUCUAGACCCGAAGCGAAGUGAUCUAGCCAUGGGCAGGGUGAAGCACGUGUAAGAGCGUGUGGAGGCCCGAACCCACUUCAGUUGAAAAUGGAGGGGAUGACCUGUGGUUAGGGGUGAAAGGCCAAUCAAACUUCGUGAUAGCUGGUUCUCCCCGAAAUGCAUUUAGGUGCAGCGUUGCGUGUGCUUGCUGGUGGUAGAGCGACUGGAUGGUCGAUGGCCCUUAUACCGGGUACUGAGAUCAGCCAAACUCCGAAUGCUGGUUUAAGUUGAGCGUGGCAGUGAGACUGCGGGGGAUAAGCUCCGUAGUCGAGAGGGAAACAGCCCAGAUCAUCGGUUAAGGCCCCUAAGGGUGUGCUAAGUGGGAAAGGAUGUGGAGUUGCUGUGACAACCAGGAGGUUGGCUUAGAAGCAGCCAUCCUUGAAAGAGUGCGUAAUAGCUCACUGGUCAAGUGAUUCCGCGCCGACAAUGUAGCGGGGCUAAGUACACCGCCGAAACCGUGGCAACAAGUUUUUGUUGGGUAGGGGAGCGUCGUGCUCGAGAUGAAGCUGCCGGGUGACCGUGUGGUGGAUUGGGUGCGAGUGAGAAUGCAGGCAUGAGUAGCGAAUGACGGGUGAGAAUCCCGUCCUCCGAAUGACUAAGGGUUCCAGGGCCAGGUUCUUCCGCCCUGGGUUAGUCGGGUCCUAAGGCGAGGCCGACAGGCGUAGUCGAUGGGCAACCAGUUGUUAUUCUGGUACCGGCGAAGGACCGUCCAUGCUGAAGCGGGGGAUACUAACCAUCCUUGCUUGCUGUUGUACCCUUUCGGGGGUUGAUGGUAAGUGAGCGUGGGACCUGAUCUUGUGGUAGGCAAGCGUGUUAACAGGGGUGACGCAGAGUGGUAGCUUCCGCGUGGCUAAUGGCUUGCCACGUUUAACAGCGCAGCUCGUUCCUUAGGUAAAUCCGGGGAACAUGGUGAGUGAGGCUGGAUGAUGAGACCGUGUGGUCGAAGUAGAGUGAUCCUGUGCUGCCGAGAAAAGCCUCGACGUGAGGUCCAAGCCGCCCGUACCCUAAACCGACACAGGUAGUCGAGUAGAGUAUACUAAGGAGUUCGAGUGAAUCGUGGUUAAGGAACUCGGCAAAAUGCCCCCGUAACUUCGGGAGAAGGGGGGCCUGAUCCUUGAAGCACCUUGCGUGCUAGGGGUGAUGGCCGCAGAAACCAGGGAGAAGCGACUGUUUAUCAAAAACACAGGUCCGUGCGAACACGUAAGUGGAUGUAUACGGACUGACGCCUGCCCGGUGCUGGAAGGUUAAGAGGAUCGGUUAGCCACCUUGUGUGGCGAAGCUGAGAAUUUAAGCCCCAGUAAACGGCGGUGGUAACUAUAACCAUCCUAAGGUAGCGAAAUUCCUUGUCGGGUAAGUUCCGACCUGCACGAAUGGCGUAACGACUUCUCCACUGUCUCAACCGCGAACUCGGUGAAAUUGCAUUACGAGUAAAGAUGCUCGUUACGCGCAGCAGGACGGAAAGACCCCGGGACCUUUACUAUAGCUUGGUAUUGGUGUUUGGUACGGUUUGUGUAGGAUAGGUGGGAGACUGUGAAGCCGUGACGCUAGUUAUGGUGGAGUCAUUGUUGAAAUACCACUCUGAUCGUGCUGGAUGUCUAACCUCGGACCAUGAUCUGGUUCAGGGACAGUGCCUGGUGGGUAGUUUAACUGGGGCGGUUGCCUCCUAAAAUGUAACGGAGGCGCUCAAAGGUUCCCUCAGCCUGGUUGGUAAUCAGGUGUCGAGUGUAAGUGCACAAGGGAGCUUGACUGCGAGACUGACAAGUCGAGCAGGUACGAAAGUAGGAACUAGUGAUCCGGCGGUGGCUUGUGGAAGCGCCGUCGCUCAACGGAUAAAAGGUACCCCGGGGAUAACAGGCUGAUCCUGCCCAAGAGUUCAUAUCGACGGCAUGGUUUGGCACCUCGAUGUCGGCUCGUCGCAUCCUGGGGCUGGAGUAGGUCCCAAGGGUUGGGCUGUUCGCCCAUUAAAGCGGUACGCGAGCUGGGUUCAGAACGUCGUGAGACAGUUCGGUCCCUAUCCGCUGCGCGCGUUGGAAACGUGAGAAGGGCUGUCCCUAGUACGAGAGGACCGGGACGGACGAACCUCUGGUGUGCCAGUUGUACCGCCAGGUGCAUGGCUGGUUGGCUACGUUCGGAAAGGAUAACCGCUGAAAGCAUCUAAGCGGGAAGCCUGCUUCAAGAUAACGUUUCCCGAACACCCUUGGGUGUUGAGAGGUCCCCUAUAGACCAUGGGGUUGAUAGGCCAGACGUGGAAGCACUGUAAAGUGUGGAGCUGACUGGUACUAAUGGGCCGACCACUUAAAAAA